This 74-nucleotide transfer RNA is filed under the name Candidatus Wolfebacteria bacterium. RNAcentral's name for it is "tRNA-Gln". It matches the Rfam family "tRNA". Rfam says of the family: Transfer RNA (tRNA) molecules are approximately 80 nucleotides in length. Their secondary structure includes four short double-helical elements and three loops (D, anti-codon, and T loops). The record is from RNAcentral. Lineage: Bacteria; Candidatus Wolfeibacteriota.
UGCCGGAUCGUCUAACGGUAGGACAGCGGUUUCUGGUACCGUAAAUCGGGGUUCGAUUCCCUGCCCGGCAGCAA